This is a long non-coding RNA of Portunus trituberculatus (swimming crab), 627 nucleotides long. RefSeq lists it as uncharacterized. Lineage: Eukaryota; Metazoa; Arthropoda; Malacostraca; Decapoda; Portunidae. The transcript is spliced from 2 exons. The record is from RefSeq and is a predicted model, not a curated record.
UCCCAGUACUGAAGGGGUUAAAUUGUAAUAAUAAUAUAAUAAUAAUAAUUUUGUCUGUAUGUCUGUAUGUCUGUCUGUGUGUCUGUCUGUCUGUCAGUAUUACCAUCUUUUCCCACAGAUUUGGUAUUAAUGGCCACGGCUGUGUCAGGAGGGCGUUGUGUGAGAUGGCAACACUGCCGCCCCUCAGACCGCAGGGCAUUGUGGGAGAAAUGCUGGAUAUCUUCAUGAGAGGCGUGGGGAACACAACACUGCUACUUCACAACACCACCACCACCACCAACAACACCACCAACAUUGAAGAAAACGAAGAAACAACAACAACAACAACAACAACAACAACAACAGAGAAAUCGGUGAAGGAGAAGAGGAGGAAGACGAACAAAGAGGGGAAGAAGAGGAUGAAGAGAGAAGAGGAGGAAGGAGGAGGAGGAGGAGGAGGAGGAGGAGAUAGAAAACGGGAUUAACUAUUUCACAGCAGGGACUCUUGGAAAACUAGACAUGGACUGCGCUGUGGCCUUUUCUGAGUGUCCUGUGUCGUUAAUGCAGUACGAGGACCAAAUGUGAGCUAUCUCUAAUCUCUAUCUUUAAUUUUCUCUCUCUUCUCUCUCUCUUGUUUUUUUUUCGCUU